CUCGUGGGCCAGCCAGCAUGGGUCGUGCUCUGCUCAAGAAGAAGAAGCCCAUGUCCUCCAUGAGACCCUGGUCUUUUGAGCGAACAAAACGGGCAUGCGCCGCUCAAUGCAACACGCCGGCGAGCCCCAGGGUCGCCGGGUGGCGGGUGCCGCCGUGCCGCCGCUGUCCCGAGGGGCGGCUGGCGGGGGUUGUACAUCCGCCGUUUCACCAUUCUCCCCUUCUUCAUUUUAUUUCCGGUUGUUUCGGUUUUUUCCUGUCGAUGUCCCUCUGACGAGUCGAUUCCGUUUCGCAGGCAUUGGUGAUUUUCUACCGUGCGCCUGCUUUCGGCGUUGUUGCUUGCCGCCGUCCGCCUGUGUUUCCCUGGACGGUGGUGCUACGGUCGCGCUUCGCCGGUUCUCAGCCUGUCGUUUUGUCAGGUGAUGUAAAUGUUCCUGUUCAAACUAAGGACUGGUUUGAUAAUUUAUUUUCAUGGAUCGGUUGCUAUUAGUGUAUUCCUGAGUUUCGGAUUGCCUGAUCUUCCCUUAUCGCAAUAUAAGCCAAUAAGGUGAGUAAUCUGGGCUAAAAGAGUUGUCUUCGGAGUUCUCCAAAUUCUUUUUUUCCAUGGUUCAUGCAUUUAGUAAUUUCGAUUUUCCAAUCGGUCGUUUACAUGAUCCACAAACCACAGGCAAUUUUUACUUUCCUGGUGUACAUAUGCUGUUUUAUAUCUUAUUUAUUUUUUCAGAGCAUUUUGUUUGCUGCUGUGCAUCUUCUGUAUUAUAUCUUUUGAGUAUGUGCAUUGCUAACAUAUUUCUGAGCUUGGAGUCCAAAGUCAGACAAGGUUAGGCUUCAGGCAAAUGAAAAUUUGAUAAAUAAUCGUAGCCACUUUCCGUUCAGCAAGGGUUGCUAUCUAAAAGGGAUCUCAUUUUGAAAAAACAUACUUUGACCUUCUUCUGUCUAUGUUCAGCUACAAGAUCAGUUUGACAUGUCUCUGAAUUGUGAAAUGCCAUCAAUUCGUAGAGUUAUUGACAGAUGUUCUACCUGAUCUUUGUUGCAUUCAUGCAUUUCAGUUUCAAGAAUGCCCUAAGCGGAUUGGAAUUUGGAAUGUAGAUGGAUAACUCAACUAAAGAACGCAAGACCCUAUUCAGAUUUUUAUAAUAACUAACACAGUACACGUGCUCUGCUACACACUAAUAAAAAAUACUCUACAUAUUUAAGGAGAAUGUUGUUCUAUUAUUUAUUGUCUUAUAUCAAAUAAUUUUGUAUUUGCAAUGUUUUGUGCCAAAAUCAAUAGGUGGCAUGGUCUAUAGGUGACGGACUGCCUCCGCCAAUUGAGAUCUUUAUAGGAGUAAAGAAAUAAGCUCUCAUGGUCAACAUAUUCAGUUUGCUUUGGCAUGUUACUGCCUCUAGAUUUCCUCUGGCAUUUGCUUGAGCUAUCAUUUUAGGAGACGGUUUUCAGUCCUUGUGUUGUUAUCAUAGAACUACCAUAACAUGAGGCAUCUUGGCAUAUAUUUUGAUCAUAAGUAACAUUGCUUUGAGUUACUGAAAAACUGUAUUUAUUUCUAGCUAUGAAUAUAUCCUGGCCAUGUACCAAUUGUCAUUAAAAUGAAAUGCCAUAAUGCAAGUUGCAUGCUAUUUUGUUGUAUUUUUAGCAUUAUUAUGUCCUCUUUUAGAUCAUACAUGUUCUUUAUGUCUUUUAUGCUUCUUCCCAUUUACUGUGGGCAAAUCAGCAAUGCAAUGUUGUGCAUAUAUGAGAGAGCCCAAUGUGUUCAUUUCUGAUCAGGUGCAUCAGUUAAGGUAUUUUUUUUAUUGAGGGAACAACAUGAUUUAUUUUUCUCCUAGUUCUUAUUUAAAUCCACGCAUUUAUUUCUCUGUGGGAUAUGUAAUGUCUGAUAUGCUGAUUCCCUAUAUGUUUUGAUCCAGUCAACAUUUUUUCUGGAUUUCUCCAAGAAGUUCAGGAGUAUGCCUCUUCUCUUCCCACCUUAAAUGUUUCCGUUGUUAUUCUGAUUGGGCGAGUGAUAGAAUAGCUCUAAAGAUUUAGUUAUCAUGAUAGGUGUGGUUUUGGCUGCAUGACUUUCUCUAUUCUCCAUAGGCAGAAUUAACUUUCUUUAACUUUAGGUGCAACUCUAUCCUCCAUAAGUGUACUUAUAGUGAUAGGUAUUGUUCAAAAUGUGACCAAAUUAAGUGUUGGAAACUACUUGCACUACUAUCUUGAUGGGGAAGUAAAGCAGGAUACCGGGUUUUGUUUAAGUAAACAUGAAGUGCCCUUUUUAAUAUGAAUACUCGAGUAUCGUAAUCCUUUGAACUUUUUCAUAGUUUUUUUUGUACGACCACUUUUGCACUUUAUUUUACGGAAAAUUUUCAAUUGACUCAUAAAACUCAUAUAUUAAAUUAUUCAUAUAAAUUUCAAAUUGGCAUGAUAUUUUAAUCCUACAUUUUCUCUAUUCACACAUGAUACUCUUUGCAUCGGAAGUCUUUGCAUCCAACACUUCCGUCAGGAGAUUUUCCAAGGUGAUGACCGUCUCUCACCCUUCCUCAUUCGGGGUCAGAGUCUGAUCCUGCAGGUAAAUUUCUAAUUUAUCCACGCAAAAGAUCUCGGAUUGAAAGUGAGGCAUUCUUUCUUUAUGCUGAAUCAUGUUUCAUAACCAGGUUAGAAAAGUCAUCUACAUAUUGUCAACAGUUAUAAAUUAAGACGUGAAGAAAAUCAUAUUUGCUAACAGGACUCGACUAAACAAAAGUAUAUGCCAUGAAUUCAGUAACUUUUGCCCAUAUAAAACUAUACAAAAUAAAUCAAUCUGCUGCAAUGCCAUAAAUCAAGGCAAUGUUGCAUUACUUCUAAGUUCUAACCAUGCCAUUAACUUCUUUAUACAGGUAGAAUAUAGCAAGUCUUAACUUCUAUGGUUUGUUACUGCAAUUGUUUUGCACGGUUACUUCUGCAAGUACCAUAACCAAAGUUACUCAUUUGUUGGACUUCUAAGCUAGAAUUACUUUUUUUCCCGACAAAAUGCAAGAAGCUUUGUGUCUCGGUACAUUGAUAGAAAAGGGAGUUAUGUGUAAGCCCCAAAAGGGCAACACAUGCUGCUUCCAGUUCCACCAUGCUGUGAGUCUGUGAGCAUGAUAAGUGACAAGGUGCCCCUACGAGAGGCAUCAGAUCCACGAAAGCAUCUCUGAUGACAGGCGGUAUCAGAUCCAUGAGAGUAUAUAUGUUUUGUCAGUGCACACAAAUAAUGAAUGCUUCCUGCAGUUUUAGAAUUUCGAGGGUUUGUUCACAUAAGUGAACCACCAGUUUUUUUUAAUCCAAACCUUAGAGCUUAGAGUAGCAUCAUGGUUUAGUCAUCAUAGUGCCUUAAGCUCCACUGGAUUUUUUUUAAUACUCCUGUCAUCUAGGCAGAAUCUUCCACUAAAGUUGGAAAAUGAUCCAAUGCUGAGAUACAGUAUUAAAUUCAACCAUAUCAUUCAUUUUUCUUUCAUAGCAUUUGAAUAAUAUACUUCUUAUUCUGGUCUCAGAAAUUCCAAACUUCAGAAAUCUGCGUGUGCAUCAUUUGAAAUGGAGAAGAAUUUGGAAGGUGAUAGAUGAUGCACUUUACUAUCUGUCACCUUCUCAUGUUAAGCAUUUCAGCUGAGUUUAGCCAAACUACUAAGACUAAUUGGAGAAAACAACAUGUAUGCCCAUAAAAAACUGGUUUGGUAUCUCACCUUUAAUCUGGACAUGUAUCUAGAUAUGAUAUGCUAUGUCCUAAGCUAUCAAAAAAGGGUUUCUAAGAAUAAGAGACUGUGUAGACUCGCAAUCAUGACAGGCCUGGACAGAUUAAUUAUUAAAGUGACAGCCGUGGAUG
This is a long non-coding RNA of Brachypodium distachyon (stiff brome), 3813 nucleotides long. RefSeq lists it as uncharacterized. The record is from RefSeq and is a predicted model, not a curated record. The transcript has 3 exons. NCBI's taxonomy places the organism in Eukaryota, Viridiplantae, Streptophyta, Magnoliopsida, Poales, Poaceae.